Molecule: RNA transcript, 3639 nt
Organism: Carassius gibelio (silver crucian carp)
Lineage: Eukaryota; Metazoa; Chordata; Actinopteri; Cypriniformes; Cyprinidae
Gene name: mediator of RNA polymerase II transcription subunit 15-like
Exons: 19
Source: RefSeq, a predicted model, not a curated record
UAAAAAGAUCCGACUCAGUAAGGUGAUGCAUUCAAGAUUCGAACAUCGCUAACACAAACUGGAAGCAGUUUGUUCAACGUUGUUCGGCAUUAUCAGUUAUGGAGGUCACCGGUACUGAUAGUGAUUGGAGGAGCCCAGCCUUUCGACAGAAAGUAGUGGCCCAAAUAGAUGAAGCCAUGAGAAAAGCAGGAACUGCUCACACAAAGUCCAGCACUGACAUGGAAAACCAUGUUUUUAUCAAGGCAAAGACCAGAGAGGAGUAUUUGUCUUUAGUUGCGAGACUGAUAAUUCAUUUUAGAGACAUUCAUAAAAAGUCACAAGGUGGGCCUGACCCCAUGAAUGCCCUGCAAAUUAUACCAGGAGUGGGUGGAGGUGGUCCUGGAGUUAUUGGCAUUGGACCACGGCCCCCUGGUGCACAAAUGGGUGGUAUGGGGCAAAUGCAAAUGCAAAUGGGUCAACAUGCCAUGCAGGGCGUAGCGGGAGGCCAGCAGGCUGCAGGGGCUGCUGGGCAGAUGCCUAUGAUGCAGCAGCAGCAACAGCAGCCAUCCAUUCAGUUUCAGCAGUUCCAGCCUCAGCAACAGGCAGCCAUGCAGCCUCAGCAGCCAGGAACUAUGCAGACUGCCAUGCAAUUCCAACAGAUAAGGCAGCACCAUCAGAAUCCACAAAUGCAGCAUCAAAAUCAACAACAGCAGCAGGCGCAGACUCCGCAGCAACAACAGAACCAGUUGCACCAAAGAAUGCAGCAGCAGCAGUUAGCACAAAUGCAGCAACUGCAACAACAACACCACCAACAACAACAACAACAGCAGCAGCAGCAGCAGCAGCAGCAACUGCAUCAACAACAGGUCCAUGCACAGGCUCAGGCUCAAGCUCAAGCUCAGGCCCAGGCUCAAGCUCAGGCCCAAGCUCAGGCCCAGGCUCAAGCUCAGGCUCAAGCUCAGGCCCAGGCCCAGGCCCAGGCCCAGGCCCAAAUGCAGCAACAGCAUCUUCAAGCCCAGGUUCAGGCUCAAGUCCAAGCCCAGGUCCAAGCUCAAAGUCAAGCCCAGGCACAGGCUCAGGGAGUGGCGGGUCAGAUGGCCCCUCACUCACAGCAGCAGCAAGUCAUGGUGCCCCAGUCAUUAGCACAAAUGGCUCCCGGACAGCAUCAACCCAUCAACUCACUCAGCCAACAGCAGCAACAUCUGAAACUCCAGCAGGCAAUACAGCAGGCGAGAGUAUUGCAGCAGCAGCAGCAACAACAACAACAACAGCAGCAGCAGCAGCAACAACAACAACAACAACAACAACAGCAGCAGCAGCAGCAGCAACAACAACAGCAGCAACAGCAGCAGGUUCAACAAGUCCAGCAGGGAGGCCAGCUCACUGCAGUCCCUAGCCAGAUGAUGCCCCGUCCUGGGAUGCAAAUUCCACCUCGGUUGCCCCGCGCCACCCCGAACUCUGCCAUUCCUCAAAACCCCGUUGCCAUUGGAGGACAGCAAAUGCCACAGGGGCAGCAAAUGAUGUCAUCACCCUCCCCAGUUCAGGUGCAGACGCCCCAGCCGAUGCCACCUCCCCCCCAGCCUCAACCGUCCCCCCAGCCUCCUUCCUCUCAGCCCAACUCUGUCAGCUCUGGUCCGACCCCUUCUCCAGGAGGUUUCCAACCCAGUCCCUCUCCUCAGCCAUCCCAGAGUCCUGCAUCUUCACGCACCCCCCAGAGUUACCCCCUCCAGGUACCUUCCCCUGGACCUCUCAAUACACCAGGCAACCCAAACUCUGUGAUGAGCCCAGCAGGGGCCUCACAAUCUGAGGACCAGCUUUACAUGGACAAACUGAAGCAGCUGUCAAAAUAUAUUGAGCCGCUACGAAGGAUGAUUAACAAAAUAGACAAAAAUGAAGAUAGGAAGAAGGAUUUGAGCAAAAUGAAAAGUUUGCUCAACAUUCUGACUGACCCCAACACAAGAUGUCCACUUAAAACUCUACAGAAGUGUGAAAUAGCAUUGGAGAAACUAAAGAAUGACAUGGCAGUGCCGACUCCUCCCCCUCCUCCAGUGCCCUGUACCAAAAAGCAGUACCUAUGCCAGCCGCUGCUGGAUGCUGUCUUGGCCAAUAUCCGCUCCCCUGUUUUCAACCAUUCACUUUACCGCACGUUUGCUCCUGCUAUGACAGCAAUUCAUGGACCCCCAAUCACGGGCCCCUCAAUUCCUCUCCGGAAGCGGAAGCUGGAAGAGGACGAGCGCCAGACCAUCCCUAACAUACUUCAAGGGGAGGUAGCUCGGCUUAAUUCCAAAUUCUUGGUCAAUCUGGACCCGUCCUUUUGCAGCAACAAUGGAACGGUGCAUCUCAUAUGUAAACUAGAUGAUAAAAAUCUUCCCAGUGUCCCCCCUCUUCAGCUGAGCAUUCCAGCAGACUACCCCGAUCAGAGCCCUCACUGGGAAGAUGACGGUCAGCAGUAUGGGGCCAACCCCUUUUUGCAGACUGUGCAUAAGAACAUGACCUCUAAACUCCUUCAGCUUCCUGACAAGCACUCGGUGACAGCACUUCUGAACACCUGGGCUCAAAGCGUAAGGCAGGCUUGCCUUUCAGCUGCUUAGAAAUGUAUUCCCAUCAGCCCAGUAUAAUCCUUGCACCUCUAUGGAAUGAAGUCCUUCAGGCAGUGUUUGGAGAGAAAGCUGAGGAAAUGUGCCUGAUUCAUCAACUCUGCCAAAGAAAAAUGAAGGUAAAGGGUUAAAAGCCAUCUGGAUAUAUAUCCAAACUUUGUGAAGUCAUUCUCAAAACCUUUUACCAUAAUGUACGCUAUACAUUUAAAAGUGAGUAUAUUUUUGUAUUUUUUUUUUUUUUGUAAUUUCAAUUAUUAAAUUAUAUUUAUGUCAAUGGGGAAUGUAUUUGUAGCAAUAGACAAAAAUACAUUGUAUGGGUCAAACUUAUAGAUUUUUCUUUUAUGACAAAAAUCAUUAGGAUAUUAUGUAAAGAUCAUGUUCCAUGGAGAUAUUUAGUAAAUUUCCUACUGUGAAUGUACUAAAACCUAAUUUUUGAAUAGUAAUAUGCUGUGAUUUUCUCAUUAUUUAGAUUUUUUUUUUUUGCACCCUUAGAUUCCAGAUUUUCAAAUAGAUGUCUCUCAGACAAAUAUUGUCCUAUCCUAACAAACUAUACAUCAAUGAAAAGCUUAUUCAGCUUUCAGUUGAUGUAUAAAUCUCAAUUUUGUGAAAACUGACUCUUAUGACUGGUUUUGUGGUCCAGGUUCACAUAUGUAAAAUCAUCAAUGGAAAAUAAUGCAACUGGUGGUGUAGUAUGUAUGUAUGUAUGUGUGUGUAUGAUUUUUUGAAGGAGUUUCUUAAGCUCAUGAAGGCAGCAUUUAUUUGAUCAAAAAUAAAGAGAUAAAAAACAGUAAUAUUGCAAAAUGUUAUUAUGAUAUAUAAUAAUGGUUUCUAUUUUAAUAUCCUUUAAAAUAUUUAUUUCUGUGAUUUCAAAGCUGAUUUUCCAUCAGCCAUUACUCCAGUAUUACGUGUCUUAUAAUCCUUAAGAAACCAUAAUAUGCUGAUUUAUUAGUAUAAUUAUCAAUGUUGGCAACAGUUGUGCUGCCAAAUAUUUUUUUGGAAACUGAAAUACUUUUUUUCAGGAUUCUUUGAUGAACAGAAAAGUUAAAAAGAACAGCAUUUAUUC